UCCCUCAGGAUAGCUGGAGCUCG
RNAcentral lists this small nuclear RNA (23 nucleotides) under Arabidopsis thaliana (thale cress). Its description in RNAcentral is "snRNA_19261". Lineage: Eukaryota; Viridiplantae; Streptophyta; Magnoliopsida; Brassicales; Brassicaceae. The record is from RNAcentral.